RNAcentral lists this ribosomal RNA (561 nucleotides) under Triticum aestivum (bread wheat). RNAcentral's name for it is "partial small subunit ribosomal RNA". The record is from RNAcentral. Lineage: Eukaryota; Viridiplantae; Streptophyta; Magnoliopsida; Poales; Poaceae.
AUGGUUCCUCCUGGUGCUUCUGCGUCUGGCCGCCGCCGUCGGGGCCGCCACCAAGGGCCCGUACCGGGCAGGAGCUGCGUCGAGUCUGAUGCCGCCGCUGCUCUGGGGAGCGAGAUCCUGCAUCGCCGUCGCCACCCUACCAGGCUUACUCUGGUCUGCCUCUCGUCGUUCGAGCAAAAGUGGUGCCAGGGCCGUCGUCGGGUAUCUAAGGCGAAGGAGCAGCAGGCACCACCACGGAUGAGCCGGCUGCGCGGUUCUAGAUGCUCCAUCGAGAAAAGCCGUCGCCGGGGAGCUGCUUCGCCUGCCGUCUCACGCCCUGGCCCUGGCAUCCUGCACGAUGGCGGGUCGACCACGACGCUAUACAGCAUCGCUUGCUGGGGCGUGCCACCGCCGCAUGGGCCUCCGCGCGAGCCGCCCGUACCCCACGCGCCCCCGCUCCUCCCACACCCGCGCGCUACCUACGGCCCGAGGGAACAAGCGCCGCCCACGCGCCGGUGGCCGUGCCAACGGGCUUCUAGCCUCGCACGCUGCCUGCCGGUUCAUCUCCUUUCCUUACCUUGA